AGCUUUUUUCUGUCACUUUCUGGUCUCUCUACCCUCUCCAUCUCUUUCUGAAUUAGACUCUUCAGUAUGCCAUCAUGUUCAUCAGUAAAUGGUGAAGGCAGUGAAUAAACUUCCCAAGGACAGUGGGUAUGGCCACAACAUAGUGACAUCACAGAGAAUGCCAGGACUCUCCAGGAUACAAUGGAAUGUCUAGGGAAGAGCUGCAGAUGUCAAGGGAACUAACAUUGCUUUCCUGCUAAUGUGUUUUCCUCAUAAUACACUAGAAGUCAAGCUGACCGUUGCAGGAGCCUCUGCUGGGAUAGAAAGGAAGCCCUUCAGCACCCCAUUCUUCCAAAGCCAGAGUUCUCUCCCUGAUUGAUUGGACAUCCUUUAGUUAUUUCCAGGUGUGGAAGUGAAUGUUUAUCUCCUACUGAAAUUUUAUGCACACAAGAUAUUGGGAAUUGGAUCUGAAUUCACUGCCUUGACUAUGAAUUUCAAUUUUAUGCUAUGUCCUUCCUUGAAGGUCAGAAGAAGCUCCUUAAAGAUGAGAGAAAAGUAGCACCUUAAAUUCCAGGACAUGAAACAGGCACUUUUGAGCUACAUCAAAGGGUAUUCAAGGAGAAUACGGUCUUAAAUAACCACAGGUGAAAAUCUCUUUCAGGGAACAGAGGAAUCAGAUACUGAACUUACCAAAAAUGCUGCAAAUGAUGCUUUAGAGCAGAGAAUCACUUGACUGGCUGAAAAUAAGUUAACACUUCUUUUCAUGACUAUUAACAAAUAUUGUGCAUCGAUCGUAUCCUUUUAUCAUUUGGAAAGACUCACCAGCUAGCUAUACUUUAUUUAUUAGCCACUUUCAGAUGCUAAAAGCAAAGAAGAUGGAGAGGGAAGGUAGAAAUCAUCAUGUUUGAUCCUCAAUAU
This is a non-coding RNA of Peromyscus maniculatus bairdii (prairie deer mouse), 897 nucleotides long. The record is from RefSeq and is a predicted model, not a curated record. Lineage: Eukaryota; Metazoa; Chordata; Mammalia; Rodentia; Cricetidae.